Misgurnus anguillicaudatus (oriental weatherfish) is the source of this 1634-nucleotide non-coding RNA. The record is from RefSeq and is a predicted model, not a curated record. NCBI's taxonomy places the organism in Eukaryota, Metazoa, Chordata, Actinopteri, Cypriniformes, Cobitidae.
ACCACCCAAACCACCAGCCUGAACCAGAUGUGAGGUGGCGUCUCUCAUGUUGGAGGAAAUAACCACCUGACAAAAUCCUUUAACCUUCUCUGCCUCCAUGAGCUUUCUUAAAGACUGAGGAAUCAGAUAAGAGAAAUAAAUCUGCUGGCUCUGAGCAUAGUUUUCGAGGUAUGUGCCCUCCAGCGCCGUCCCCACGAUGGUCAAACCCUUCCCUGCCUUCAGCUGACUGGUCAGAGAGAGCAGACGAGGCUGUUCAACAUUCAGCUCGGCGUCCAUACUGACCAGGACCAAUAUUUGAGGCCUGUAAAGAGAGAUGUGAAAAACAACAACAAUCAUGAAGAUAUGGAUUACACGUCACACCCACCUCCAGUUUUUGGUGUGUGGAGGUCCUUCUUCUAACCUCAUGAGGGCGAAUCGGGCGGCACUGAGUGAUAAACCUCUUAUUCCAUCUCCCCAUUCCUUUUCAGCCCUAUAUCAACACAAACAAACACAUUAACACAAACUGCGUUCACACACAUUUUGGCUCGGACAGGAUGCACUAACAUGCAAUUCAUUCUACUUGUUUAUGCACAUCAGUCUAUACUAUGUUUUCUAUUUUAGAUAUGCAUGCACUAUGGAUGUGAUAAAAAGGACAAGUUUUUGGGAGACAACAUACAUGACCCUCUACUCUACAAUUAACAUUAAUUAUUUAUUUUGUUUAAAUUUUCAUGUGCGCAUUUAUGAUGAAGAAACAGCGUUAUGAAUGUGACAUUUCUGAAUGCUGCACCUUCCUGGAAUAUAUAUAUAAAAAAUGCUUGAAAACUUAAACAGAAACCUUGCACUGAUAUUUAACUCAUUCCGCGCCAUUAACGAGUUAUCUCGUCAAUUAAGAGAAAACAUUUGCAUGAAAAAAAAACGUAUUUCUAAUGAGUUUUUAUGGUAAUCUGAAAUACCCCAAUUAUCCACUAGAUGCCGCUCUUUCCCAAUUUAUAAAAAACUGAAGCAAAAAAGUUAUUUAUUCAUUUUAAACUCCGUGUAUGUUUUGAUAAUCGUUCUGAAUUUGAUCUCUAACAAAAUUCCUUUACAAAAAUGCAAUUAUUUCAGGUUUUUGCUCAAAAAAAUAUUUUUGAAGAAACCUAUUUAAGAGUUUAUAAGCAGACAAAAAAAUAUAGAUAGGAUGAAAGUUUUCCCCGUUUUGUUUGUUUGUUUAUUGUUUAUUUAAAAGCAGAGGGUCUGUUCUUUCAUUGGAUAUAUUUGUAUGUUUCUAUAUUUUUAGAAGAAAAUUUUCAUGGAAGACAUUUUGUGAAACUUUUGUGAAAAUCACAAAAAAAUGUUGGCAGGCAACUUUUCACAAAAACGAAACAAAAAAGGCCGGCGGGGAAUGAGUUUUGAGAUUUAGCCACUAAAUCUAGAAAUAAUUCCUUCUUUGAAUGUGUUUAAAAAUAUUUUGCAAUGUAAAAUGAGUGAAGUAUUUUUGUCUUGCUUGUUUAGAAUUUGUUUUGUGUAUAAAGUGUUUAUGUGAAACUUUAAUGAGGCCAUCUUGGCCUCCCUGGAAGAAGGGAUUUCUUUAAUCUCAAUGGGACCUACCUGGAAAAAUAAAGGUUAAAUAAAUAAAAUAAAUAAAUAUUGACAUCCGAGAUAUCAGUAUGGUUAUU